UCUUCCGUAGUAUAGUGGUCAGUAUAUGAGCUUGUCACCUGUCAAGUUCGGCAUCGCUCGGGACGCCGGGUUCAAUUCCCGGCGGGAGAG
Non-coding RNA from Bombardia bombarda, 90 nucleotides. The record is from the annotation of a GenBank genome assembly. NCBI's taxonomy places the organism in Eukaryota, Fungi, Ascomycota, Sordariomycetes, Sordariales, Lasiosphaeriaceae.